GUGCCAGCAGCCGCGGUAAUACGUAGGGUGCAAGCGUUAUCCGGAAUUAUUGGGCGUAAAGAGCUCGUAGGCGGUUUGUCGCGUCUGUCGUGAAAGUCCGGGGCUCAACUCCGGAUCUGCGGUGGGUACGGGCAGACUAGAGUGAUGUAGGGGAGACUGGAAUUCCUGGUGUAGCGGUGGAAUGCGCAGAUAUCAGGAGGAACACCGAUGGCGAAGGCAGGUCUCUGGGCAUUAACUGACGCUGAGGAGCGAAAGCAUGGGGAGCGAACAGGAUUAGAUACCCGGGUAGUCC
RNAcentral lists this ribosomal RNA (292 nucleotides) under uncultured microorganism. Its description in RNAcentral is "partial 16S ribosomal RNA". It matches the Rfam family "Bacterial small subunit ribosomal RNA", at positions 505 to 796 of the family's 1533-position model. The record is from RNAcentral.